This 200-nucleotide unclassified non-coding RNA is filed under the name Inocybe sp. Its description in RNAcentral is "partial internal transcribed spacer 2". Lineage: Eukaryota; Fungi; Basidiomycota; Agaricomycetes; Agaricales; Inocybaceae. The record is from RNAcentral.
UUAAGUUCAGCGGGUAGUCCUACCUGAUUUGAGGUCAAAUUUUGUCAAAUGUUUGUUGUUAUAAGCGGUGCUGUCCAGCAUUACCAAAGGCAUAGAUAGAUUUAUCACACCAAUAGCAGCUCAGAUCACCACUAAUGCAUUUCAGGGGAGCCAGCUUUCAUUAGAAAAGAAAGCCUGCAAACCCCCACAUCCAAGCGACA